RNAcentral lists this ribosomal RNA (252 nucleotides) under uncultured bacterium. Its description in RNAcentral is "partial 16S ribosomal RNA". It matches the Rfam family "Bacterial small subunit ribosomal RNA", at positions 524 to 776 of the family's 1533-position model. The record is from RNAcentral.
UACGUAGGAUGCAAGCGUUGUCCGGAAUUACUGGGCGUAAAGGGCGCGUAGGCGGAUACUUAAGUCGGGGGUGAAAGCCCGGGGCUCAACCUCGGAAUUGCCUUCGAUACUGGGUAUCUUGAGUUCGGGAGAGGUGAGUGGAAUGCCGAGUGUAGAGGUGAAAUUCGUAGAUAUUCGGCGGAACACCAGUGGCGAAGGCGACUCACUGGCCCGAUACUGACGCUGAUGCGCGAAAGCGUGGGAGCAAACAGG